GACGAACGCUGGCGGCGUGCUUAACACAUGCAAGUCGAACGGAAAGGCCUUUUCGGAGGUACUCGAGUGGCGAACGGGUGAGUAACACGUGGGUGAUCUGCCCUGCACUCUGGGAUAAGCCUGGGAAACUGGGUCUAAUACCGGAUAGGACCGCACUUUAGUGUGUGUGGUGGAAAGUUUUUUCGGUGUAGGAUGAGCCCGCGGCCUAUCAGCUUGUUGGUGGGGUAAUGGCCUACCAAGGCGGCGACGGGUAGCCGGACUGAGAGGUUGGUCGGCCACAUUGGGACUGAGAUACGGCCCAGACUCCUACGGGAGGCAGCAGUGGGGAAGAUUGCACAAUGGGCGCAAGCCUGAUGCAGCGACGCCGCGGGGGGGAUGACGGCCUUCGGGUUGUAAACUCCUUUCGCAAGGGACGAAGCGUUUUGUGACGGUACCUGGAGAAGAAGCACCGGCUAACUACGUG
RNAcentral lists this ribosomal RNA (463 nucleotides) under uncultured bacterium. RNAcentral describes it as "partial 16S ribosomal RNA". It matches the Rfam family "Bacterial small subunit ribosomal RNA", at positions 28 to 507 of the family's 1533-position model. The record is from RNAcentral.